This is a long non-coding RNA of Mobula hypostoma (lesser devil ray), 150 nucleotides long. RefSeq lists it as uncharacterized. NCBI's taxonomy places the organism in Eukaryota, Metazoa, Chordata, Chondrichthyes, Myliobatiformes, Myliobatidae. The record is from RefSeq and is a predicted model, not a curated record. The transcript is spliced from 3 exons.
GCAUCGGCGGUGGUGUGGCUCUGUUGCAGUUUUCUUCAUGGCUGUUGGUUGAUUCGACUCGAACAUAUUAAAAUUAAGGAACACAAUCUGCUGGAAGAACUCAGAGGGUUGAGCCACAUUGGAGAUCACUCACACCAACUUAAGAGAAAG